UAACACGUAAACAACCUGCCUUCAGGAUGGGGACAACAGACGGAAACGACUGCUAAUACCGAAUAAGUUCCAAGGGCCGCAUGGCCCAUGGAAGAAAAGGUGGCCUCUACCUGUAAGCUAUCGCCUGAAGAGGGGUUUGCGUCUGAUUAGCUGGUUGGAGGGGUAACGGCCCACCAAGGCGACGAUCAGUGGCCGGUCUGAGAGGAUGAACGGCCACACUGGAACUGAGACACGGUCCAGACUCCUACGGGAGGCAGCAGUGGGGAAUCUUCCGCAAUGGGCGAAAGCCUGACGGAGCAACGCCGCGUGAGUGAUGACGGCCUUCGGGUUGCAAAACUCUGUGAUCCGGGACGAAAAGGCAGAGUGCGAAGAACAAACUGCAUUGACGGUACCGGAAAAGCAAGCCACGGCUAACUACGUGCCAGCAGCCGCGGUAAUACGUAGGUGGCAAGCGUUGUCCGGAAUUAUUGGGCGUAAAGCGCGCGCAGGCGGCUUCCCAAGUCCCUCUUAAAAGUGCGGGGCUUAACCCCGUGAUGGGAAGGAAACUGGGAAGCUGGAGUAUCGGAGAGGAAAGUGGAAUUCCUAGUGUAGCGGUGAAAUGCGUAGAGAUUAGGAAGAACACCGGUGGCGAAGGCGACUUUCUGGACGAAAACUGACGCUGAGGCGCGAAAGCGUGGGGAGCAAACAGGAUUAGAUACCCUGGUAGUCCACGCCGUAAA
Molecule: ribosomal RNA, 719 nt
Filed under: uncultured bacterium
Lineage: Bacteria
Description: bacterial SSU rRNA
Rfam family: Bacterial small subunit ribosomal RNA
Source: RNAcentral